The sequence is a regulatory RNA element, 127 nucleotides long. It matches the Rfam family "PyrR binding site". Rfam says of the family: This family represents the PyrR binding site and terminator structure. This RNA structure is found upstream of a variety of genes involved in pyrimidine biosynthesis and transport. The record is from Rfam.
ACCACCUUUUAAAAUAAGUCCAGAGAGGCUUAAAAGGGUGUUUUAAUGUGCAUAUGGAACGAUUUAUUAAACAUAUUCACAUUAUGUAUAACACCCUGCUCUUGAUUGAAGCAGGGUGUUUUUUUAU